Molecule: unclassified non-coding RNA, 366 nt
Filed under: uncultured bacterium
Lineage: Bacteria
Description: contains 16S-23S intergenic spacer region
Source: RNAcentral
UCUCCCGUGAGGGAGCAGUCUCGCCUGGUCAUAUAGACAACAGGCAACGGGGGUUGCGUUCGUUACCCCACUGAAGGGAACAGUUCAAACCACGAACUGACGACGACCAUGCAUCACCUGUGCAACACCCUCGAAGGCUCCCUUCCUUUCGGAUGGGAUGCAGUUGCAUUUCUAACCUUGGUAAGGUUCUUCGUUUGUUUACGAAUUGAGCCACAUAAUCCACUGCUUGUGCGAGUCCCCGUCUAUUCCUUUGAGUUUUAAUCUUGCGAUCGUACUACCCAGGCGGCUCGCUUACCGCGUUAGCUUAGCCCCACAGAGGGUCGAUACUCCGUAGAGCGAGCGAGCAACGUUGAGGGCCAGGACUAC